Molecule: ribosomal RNA, 230 nt
Filed under: uncultured bacterium
Lineage: Bacteria
Description: partial 16S ribosomal RNA
Rfam family: Bacterial small subunit ribosomal RNA
Source: RNAcentral
AAAGGGUGCGUAGGCGGCUUGGUAAGUUGAAGGUGAAAUCUCGGAGCUCAACUCCGAAACUGCCUUCAAUACUGCUGAGCUUGAGGAUUGUAGAGGAGAGUGGAAUUCACGGUGUAGCAGUGAAAUGCGUAGAUAUCGUGAGGAAGACCAGUGGCGAAGGCGACUCUCUGGGCAAUUCCUGACGCUGAGGCACGAAGGCUAGGGGAGCAAACGGGAUUAGAUACCCUGGU